GGGGGUGUUUCUGGCUUCGACGCUGGUGAUGAAACUCAUAGAUGCAUGCCGAGAGCGCAUUUUCUCUCGUAAAUCAAAUUUGCAUUUUAUAGUCGCAAACGACGAAACUUACGCUCUAGCUGCCUAAGGGCAGCUUGUCCGCCUCUCCGAAUACUUGUGGUUAGAGAGUCCGACUGAAGCGCACGCACACAAGUCCGUAUAAA
RNAcentral lists this transfer-messenger RNA (203 nucleotides) under Acinetobacter sp. RNAcentral's name for it is "partial transfer-messenger RNA". It matches the Rfam family "transfer-messenger RNA", at positions 1 to 195 of the family's 374-position model. Rfam says of the family: Bacterial tmRNA, also known as 10Sa RNA or SsrA, is named for its dual tRNA and mRNA-like properties. Lineage: Bacteria; Pseudomonadati; Pseudomonadota; Gammaproteobacteria; Moraxellales; Moraxellaceae. The record is from RNAcentral.